This 622-nucleotide ribosomal RNA is filed under the name uncultured bacterium. RNAcentral describes it as "bacterial SSU rRNA". The stretch from base 1 to 542 matches the Rfam family "Bacterial small subunit ribosomal RNA", at positions 338 to 873 of the family's 1533-position model. The record is from RNAcentral.
CCUACGGGAGGCAGCAGUGGGGAAUUUUGGACAAUGGGCGCAAGCCUGAUCCAGCAAUGCCGCGUGAGUGAAGAAGGCCUUCGGGUUGUAAAGCUCUUUUGUCAGGGAAGAAACGGUCUACUCUAAUACAGUGGGCUAAUGACGGUACCUGAAGAAUAAGCACCGGCUAACUACGUGCCAGCAGCCGCGGUAAUACGUAGGGUGCAAGCGUUAAUCGGAAUUACUGGGCGUAAAGCGUGCGCAGGCGGUUAUAUAAGUCAGAUGUGAAAUCCCCGGGCUCAACCUGGGAACUGCAUUUGAGACUGUAUGGCUAGAGUGUGUCAGAGGGGGGUAGAAUUCCACGUGUAGCAGUGAAAUGCGUAGAUAUGUGGAGGAAUACCGAUGGCGAAGGCAGCCCCCUGGGAUAACACUGACGCUCAUGCACGAAAGCGUGGGGAGCAAACAGGAUUAGAUACCCUGGUAGUCCACGCCCUAAACGAUGUCUACUAGUUGUCGGGACUUAAUUGUCUUGGUAACGCAGCUAACGCGUGAAGUAGACCGCCUGGGGGAGGUACGGUCGCGAGAGUAAACUACAAAUAGAAGUAGAGNGNGAGAGUAGCGACGGACGACACGAGGGAGGAGG